Molecule: ribosomal RNA, 162 nt
Filed under: uncultured bacterium
Lineage: Bacteria
Description: partial 16S rRNA
Rfam family: Bacterial small subunit ribosomal RNA
Source: RNAcentral
GGAAUCUUCGGCAAUGGGGGCAACCCUGACCGAGCAACGCCGCGUGAGUGAAGAAGGUUUUCGGAUCGUAAAGCUCUGUUGUAAGAGAAGAACGUNUGUGAGAGUGGAAAGUUCACACAGUGACGGUAACUUACCAGAAAGGGACGGCUAACUACGUGCCAG